AUGAUGGAAAUACAGUACGUACUCUUUUGGAAAAACAAAUGGCAAAGGAAUACACUGCAAGCAACCUGGCCUUAUUUGUUCUCCUUUGCCCUUAAGGAAAACUCCUCAGUCCAGCAAAUUAUGCAGCAAGAUUUGACCCCUGAUCUGUUCCAUUUACCUUUAUCUCAGGAAGCUUUCCAGGAAUUCGCUUUCCUGGAACAGCUGAAGGAAGGGUCACAGAGGACCCUGAUAUCUGAAGGCUCUGGAAUUCUUGCUGUCAAAAGAAACACAAGGUCUUUUUUCGGUUGCUCAUCAACAACAGAUUUAACACAAGGGAGAUGGUAUUACAUAGGAAAAUCUUCUUCUUGCCUGAUUACUCUUGUGUGCUUUGUGGAAGUUUUGCUACUUAGACUAGUGACCAUCCAUUUUUCCAGUGUCCUUUUGCAGUUGCUUGUUGGAAAUACUUAUGCCCAGAUUGGAACCAAAUUCAAGGCCCUGUUCAGGAUCAGAUUCACACUUUGA
This 501-nucleotide ribosomal RNA is filed under the name Triticum aestivum (bread wheat). Its description in RNAcentral is "partial small subunit ribosomal RNA". The record is from RNAcentral. Lineage: Eukaryota; Viridiplantae; Streptophyta; Magnoliopsida; Poales; Poaceae.